UACGAGAGGCCCAAACGUUAUUCGGAAUUACUGGGCUUAAAGAGUUCGUAGGCGGCGCGGAAAGUGGGGUGUGAAAGCCCUCGGCUCAACCGAGGAAUUGCGCUCCAAACUACCGUGCUUGAGGAAGCUAAAGGUGAGCGGAACUGAUGGUGGAGCGGUGAAAUGCGUUGAUAUCAUCAGGAACACCGGAGGCGAAGGCGGCUCACUGGGGCUUUUCUGACGCUGAGGAACGAAAGCCAGGGUAGCGAACGGG
This 253-nucleotide ribosomal RNA is filed under the name uncultured bacterium. RNAcentral describes it as "partial 16S ribosomal RNA". It matches the Rfam family "Bacterial small subunit ribosomal RNA", at positions 524 to 776 of the family's 1533-position model. The record is from RNAcentral.